Leptidea sinapis is the source of this 519-nucleotide long non-coding RNA. RefSeq lists it as uncharacterized. The record is from RefSeq and is a predicted model, not a curated record. The transcript is spliced from 3 exons. NCBI's taxonomy places the organism in Eukaryota, Metazoa, Arthropoda, Insecta, Lepidoptera, Pieridae.
CUUCAUAAUUAACUUUGUUAUUGGACUUGGAAGACCACGUGAUGUCUACACCAAUCCUGCAGUAUAUAAACAUGAAGAUGCACCUGAUAAAGCACACAGUAUCAGCGUGGUCUUCAGACAGGACAACUGCAACAUGAAAUACUUUAUCGCGGUAUUUUUGGUGGCGGCGUGCGUAGCCAUGGCGUCUGCUUCAGUCGGCUGGAACAACGGAUGGAACAGCGGGUGGGGCUCGCCUGUGGUCUACUCAUCUCCGGUCUACUCUCGUCGCAUCUACCCCUCCUACUCAUCGUACUCCUCCGGGUGGCCGUCGGGUGGUUGGGGCGCUGGCUCAGGCUGGGGUUCUAGCUCAGGCUGGGGUGCCCGCUCAGGCUGGAACAGUGGCUGGUCCGCCAAACCCUGGUGGUGACUCACCAAUGCUACUUCUCUUUCCCAACCACCGUGUAUACAUAUUCUGUCUAUAUACUUUAUUCUACUCCCUAAUGAGAUUUAUACAGUAUUAAUAAAUGUUUUCAAAAAUUA